AUGGCUAAGCGCCACCGGGAUCGGACCGGCCAUGCACACCGGGGUUGGCAGGCGAUGAUGGCGGCGCGUCGGCCUGCUAACCUGACAAAAAGGGCGGCGCCGCGCCGGAGGGUGACGGUGGUUCCUUCUUCCCAAAACAUGUUACGCCGACGCUGGAAUGGUGCAGUUCGGUGGCUGCUCAGCGCCACAGCUGCUCCCUGCUGCCCGGCCUGUGGUGGUUCUGCCGCUGGACGCCUCCCAGCCCCGGCGCCGGCGGGAAUCCUGAUGAUGCUGCUGCUGCUGCCUCGGCGGUGUACGGCUGCCAACGAUCGACGCCGGCGCCGGUGGGCCACCCGAGCAUGUGUGGCUCUGCUCUGCCGCCUCCGCCGAUCUGGCCCUGUUCAACGGUCACGAGACAUGAUGCUCUGGGCUGGUCAGUGUGUGGUUUCAGUCAGGCGAUCAUUGGUCACAGGUUUACUACUGUAUCACAUACCAUCUGGAGCAUGCUGCUGCGCGGGAUGGUGGGGCGGUGAUCGCCGUCCGGGCACCUCAGCGCCGGUGUUAUCGACGUCGGCGAUGGCCUCAUCCAGAUGCUCCUGUUCCUGCCGGGGCGCCACGGAGCCGCCGCCUCCUCCUCCUCCGGCAUCUCAAACUGACGCCGACAGCACCGAAUGA
This 654-nucleotide ribosomal RNA is filed under the name Triticum aestivum (bread wheat). RNAcentral's name for it is "partial small subunit ribosomal RNA". The record is from RNAcentral. Lineage: Eukaryota; Viridiplantae; Streptophyta; Magnoliopsida; Poales; Poaceae.